UCUUUCAAUGCCCCUUGGCAAUCAUUAUUUCACCUGACCGUUUGAUCUUUUUUUUUUCAACAUCUUGAAUAUAGGUUCGCACGUGGCUGUUAGAUGAGAUGUGAACCAUGACAGGUAGUUCAAUCUAUCUAUGAAACCACGAACCCCUCCUUUAUGUUCUCGGUUCAGGCGUUUCUCUUAUUGUUCUUUUUUUUUUUUUUUUUUUU
RNAcentral lists this long non-coding RNA (206 nucleotides) under Lathyrus oleraceus (garden pea). RNAcentral describes it as "Pisum sativum (pea) long non-coding RNA (PSAT_LNC040321)". The record is from RNAcentral. Lineage: Eukaryota; Viridiplantae; Streptophyta; Magnoliopsida; Fabales; Fabaceae.